RNAcentral lists this long non-coding RNA (218 nucleotides) under Ananas comosus (pineapple). RNAcentral describes it as "long non-coding RNA (ACOM_LNC032780)". Lineage: Eukaryota; Viridiplantae; Streptophyta; Magnoliopsida; Poales; Bromeliaceae. The record is from RNAcentral.
UGGGAAAGAAGAGAAAUUCUGAAAAAUUAUUUAAGAGCGGUAAAAGUACCGGCGAAUGUGCCAGUAGAUGAAUGGCACGAAGUUGAAGUCAGACCAUCGGCCAGGUGGCAUGGGCCGAUGUUAACAAAAACUCAAAAGCGUUGGCAACAGAGGUUGCAAGCCGAGGCGAGACAAAAUUAUGAAAAGGCGAAAGGGCUGAGGUUCAAUGUAUGGAGACG